GGGGGGGUAUUCUUUAAAAUAUUAAUUUUGUUUUAUUUGGAAUGGUUUAUUUUGUUUUUUCCUUUAUUGGGUUGAUUUUUCGGUUGGGUAGAUUAAAGUUUAAUUUUGGCUUGGUAUUUCAGUUAAUCUUUUUUUUUUUACAUGCGUUGGGUUUUACUUAUAAAGAGUAUUUGCAGUAUUUUGUAU
Molecule: ribosomal RNA, 186 nt
Filed under: Pyrearinus fragilis
Lineage: Eukaryota; Metazoa; Arthropoda; Insecta; Coleoptera; Elateridae
Description: partial 12S ribosomal RNA
Source: RNAcentral